This 22-nucleotide non-coding RNA is filed under the name Arabidopsis thaliana (thale cress). Lineage: Eukaryota; Viridiplantae; Streptophyta; Magnoliopsida; Brassicales; Brassicaceae. The record is from RNAcentral.
CGUCGCAGAUUGUGGGUUGCCC